UACGUGGGGGGCAAGCGUUGUCCGGAAUCAUUGGGCGUAAAGAGCGUGUAGGCGGCCCGAUAAGUCUGCCGUGAAAGUCCAGGGCUCAACCCUGGGAUGCCGGUGGAAACUGUCGGGCUAGAGUCCGGAAGAGGCGAGUGGAAUUCCUGGUGUAGCGGUGAAAUGCGCAGAUAUCAGGAGGAACACCAACGGCGAAGGCAGCUCGCUGGGACGGUACUGACGCUGAGACGCGAAAGCGUGGGGAGCAAACAGG
Molecule: ribosomal RNA, 253 nt
Filed under: uncultured bacterium
Lineage: Bacteria
Description: partial 16S ribosomal RNA
Rfam family: Bacterial small subunit ribosomal RNA
Source: RNAcentral